AAACUUUCAACAACGGAUCUCUUGGUUCCAGCAUCGAUGAAGAACGCAGCGAAAUGCGAUAAGUAAUGUGAAUUGCAGAAUUCAGUGAAUCAUCGAAUCUUUGAACG
Molecule: ribosomal RNA, 107 nt
Filed under: Platismatia glauca
Lineage: Eukaryota; Fungi; Ascomycota; Lecanoromycetes; Lecanorales; Parmeliaceae
Description: partial 5.8S ribosomal RNA
Rfam family: 5.8S ribosomal RNA
About the family: 5.8S ribosomal RNA (5.8S rRNA) is a component of the large subunit of the eukaryotic ribosome. It is transcribed by RNA polymerase I as part of the 45S precursor that also contains 18S and 28S rRNA. Functionally, it is thought that 5.8S rRNA may be involved in ribosome translocation.
Source: RNAcentral